Molecule: transfer RNA, 65 nt
Filed under: Dudusa nobilis
Lineage: Eukaryota; Metazoa; Arthropoda; Insecta; Lepidoptera; Notodontidae
Description: tRNA-Tyr
Source: RNAcentral
AAUAAAAUGGCUGAGAUUCAAGCGAUAAAUUGUAAAUUUAUUUACGAGAUAUAUCUCUUUUAUUA